RNAcentral lists this ribosomal RNA (1023 nucleotides) under Escherichia coli. RNAcentral describes it as "partial 23S ribosomal RNA". It matches the Rfam family "Bacterial large subunit ribosomal RNA", at positions 129 to 1194 of the family's 2925-position model. The record is from RNAcentral. Lineage: Bacteria; Pseudomonadati; Pseudomonadota; Gammaproteobacteria; Enterobacterales; Enterobacteriaceae.
CAGUGUGUUUCGACACACUAUCAUUAACUGAAUCCAUAGGUUAAUGAGGCGAACCGGGGGAACUGAAACAUCUAAGUACCCCGAGGAAAAGAAAUCAACCGAGAUUCCCCCAGUAGCGGCGAGCGAACGGGGAGCAGCCCAGAGCCUGAAUCAGUAUGUGUGUUAGUGGAAGCGUCUGGAAAGGCGCGCGAUACAGGGUGACAGCCCCGUACACAAAAAUGCACAUGCUGUGAGCUCGAUGAGUAGGGCGGGACACGUGGUAUCCUGUCUGAAUAUGGGGGGACCAUCCUCCAAGGCUAAAUACUCCUGACUGACCGAUAGUGAACCAGUACCGUGAGGGAAAGGCGAAAAGAACCCCGGCGAGGGGAGUGAAAAAGAACCUGAAACCGUGUACGUACAAGCAGUGGGAGCACGCUUAGGCGUGUGACUGCGUACCUUUUGUAUAAUGGGUCAGCGACUUAUAUUCUGUAGCAAGGUUAACCGAAUAGGGGAGCCGAAGGGAAACCGAGUCUUAACUGGGCGUUAAGUUGCAGGGUAUAGACCCGAAACCCGGUGAUCUAGCCAUGGGCAGGUUGAAGGUUGGGUAACACUAACUGGAGGACCGAACCGACUAAUGUUGAAAAAUUAGCGGAUGACUUGUGGCUGGGGGUGAAAGGCCAAUCAAACCGGGAGAUAGCUGGUUCUCCCCGAAAGCUAUUUAGGUAGCGCCUCGUGAAUUCAUCUCCGGGGGUAGAGCACUGUUUCGGCAAGGGGGUCAUCCCGACUUACCAACCCGAUGCAAACUGCGAAUACCGGAGAAUGUUAUCACGGGAGACACACGGCGGGUGCUAACGUCCGUCGUGAAGAGGGAAACAACCCAGACCGCCAGCUAAGGUCCCAAAGUCAUGGUUAAGUGGGAAACGAUGUGGGAAGGCCCAGACAGCCAGGAUGUUGGCUUAGAAGCAGCCAUCAUUUAAAGAAAGCGUAAUAGCUCACUGGUCGAGUCGGCCUGCGCGGAAGAUGUAACGGGGCUAAACCAUGCAC